Molecule: ribosomal RNA, 253 nt
Filed under: uncultured bacterium
Lineage: Bacteria
Description: partial 16S ribosomal RNA
Rfam family: Bacterial small subunit ribosomal RNA
Source: RNAcentral
UACGGAGGAGGCAAGCGUUAUCCGGAAUUAUUGGGCGUAAAGCGUCCGCAGGUGGCACUUCAAGUCUGUCGUCAAAGACUGGGGCUUAACCCCGGUAAGGCGGUGGAAACUGAAGCGCUAGAGUGCGGUAGGGGUAGAGGGAAUUCCCGGUGUAGCGGUGAAAUGCGUAGAGAUCGGGAAGAACAUCGGUGGCGAAAGCGCUCUACUGGACCGCAACUGACACUCAGGGACGAAAGCUAGGGGAGCGAAAGGG